GACACGCUGGCGGCGUGGAUUAGGCAUGCAAGUCGAACGGUAUCAUCCUUCGGGGUGAGAGAGUGGCGAACUGGUGAGUAACACGUAGGUUAUCUACCCUCAAGACGGGACAACCCAGGGAAACUUGGGCUAAUACCGGAUGUGAGCAACUUUUAGUGUUUGAAAGGUGGCGUAAGCUGUCGCUUGGGGAUGAGCCUGCGUCCUAUUAGUUAGUUGGUGAGGUAACGGCUCACCUAGGCAAUGAUAGGUAGGCGGCCUUAACGGGUGGUCGCCCACACUGGGAUUGAGAUACGGCCCAGACUCCUACGGGAGGCAGCAGUCGAGAAUAGUCUACAAUGGUCGGAAGACUGAUAGUGCGACGCCGCGUGAACGAUGAAUCCCUUCGGGGUGUAAAGUUCUUUUAUAUGUGAGCAGUGCUUCUUAUAUUAACAGUAUGGGGAGAGAGAUAUUAGCAUAUGAAUAAGCAACGGCUAACUCCGUG
RNAcentral lists this ribosomal RNA (481 nucleotides) under uncultured bacterium. RNAcentral describes it as "bacterial SSU rRNA". It matches the Rfam family "Bacterial small subunit ribosomal RNA", at positions 33 to 507 of the family's 1533-position model. The record is from RNAcentral.